AAGCCCCGGCACCUUAUGCUUAGGUGUUNUCUCAGACUUGCACUCUGAUNCUUUCCCGGAG
This 61-nucleotide transfer RNA is filed under the name Rhoptropus diporus. RNAcentral describes it as "tRNA-Cys". The record is from RNAcentral. Lineage: Eukaryota; Metazoa; Chordata; Lepidosauria; Squamata; Gekkonidae.